This 282-nucleotide long non-coding RNA is filed under the name Lathyrus oleraceus (garden pea). RNAcentral describes it as "Pisum sativum (pea) long non-coding RNA (PSAT_LNC000677)". The record is from RNAcentral. Lineage: Eukaryota; Viridiplantae; Streptophyta; Magnoliopsida; Fabales; Fabaceae.
GAUAUUUUCAUAAAUUAAACGCCUUAAAUUUAUAGUUUUCCCCCUCAAAAUUUGGCAGAUUUCAACGAUUUUGGGUUACAGUGUUAUGCUUUAAUCGCGCACGAUGCUAACGGUAUUCAGAUUCUCCCAAAUGUAUCUAUCGUGCAUGCUAUUCAGGCAUAAGGCAUGCGAUGAUGUCCUAUCACGCGUGUGAUGGUCUGCGUGAUUAUUCCAGAGGCUUCAACAUUUUCUUAUUUUUUUUUAUUCUUUUCUUCUCUUCUUCUCCUUUAUUUUCUUUCUUUU